UACGUAGGGUCCGAGCGUUGUCCGGAGUUACUGGGCGUAAAGCGCGCGCAGGUGGUUCACUAAGCCCGGCGUGAAAGCCCCCGGCUCAACCGGGGAGGGUCGUCGGGGACUGGUGAACUUGAGGGCGGCAGGGGCUGGUGGAAUCCCCGGUGUAGUGGUGAAAUGCGUAGAGAUCAGGCGGAACACCCGUGGCGAAGGCGGCCAGCUGGGCCGUCCCUGACGCUGAGGCGCGAAGGCGUGGGGAGCGAACGGG
This 253-nucleotide ribosomal RNA is filed under the name uncultured bacterium. RNAcentral describes it as "partial 16S ribosomal RNA". It matches the Rfam family "Bacterial small subunit ribosomal RNA", at positions 524 to 776 of the family's 1533-position model. The record is from RNAcentral.